Molecule: small nucleolar RNA, 220 nt
Organism: Echinops telfairi (small Madagascar hedgehog)
Lineage: Eukaryota; Metazoa; Chordata; Mammalia; Afrosoricida; Tenrecidae
Gene: U3
Rfam family: Small nucleolar RNA U3
About the family: Small nucleolar RNAs (snoRNAs) are involved in the processing and modification of rRNA in the nucleolus. There are two main classes of snoRNAs: the box C/D class, and the box H/ACA class. U3 snoRNA is a member of the box C/D class.
Source: Ensembl
AAGACCCAUCUAUACUUUCAGGGAUCAUUUCUAUAGUUCGUACAAGCGAAGAUUCUCUGAUCAUGUAGAGCACCGAAAACCACGUGGAGGAGGCACAGCAUUCUCUCCUGAGUGUGAAGCAGGCUCCUGGUGCUGCUUUAUUGCAGCUGCCAUUUGCCUUUGAUGAUCGUUCUUCUCUGCCCUUGUGCAGAGGGAGAGGGAGAGAAUGUAGUCUGAGUGG